Molecule: ribosomal RNA, 429 nt
Filed under: Bacteroidota bacterium
Lineage: Bacteria; Pseudomonadati; Bacteroidota
Description: Bacteroidetes bacterium partial 16S ribosomal RNA
Rfam family: Bacterial small subunit ribosomal RNA
Source: RNAcentral
UAGGGAAUCUUCCGCAAUGGACGCAAGUCUGACGGAGCAACGCCGCGUGAGUGAAGAAGGAUUUCGGUUCGUAAAACUCUGUUGUUAGAGAAGAACAGCGCAUAGAGUAACUGUUAUGCGUGUGACGUUAUCUAACCAGAAAGCCACGGCUAACUACGUGCCAGCAGCCGCGGUAAUACGUAGGUGGCAAGCGUUGUCCGGAUUUAUUGGGCGUAAAGCGAGCGCAGGCGGUCAAUUAAGUCUGAUGUGAAAGCCCCCGGCUCAACCGGGGAGGGUCAUUGGAAACUGGUUGUCUUGAGGGCAGAAGAGGAGAGUGGAAUUCCAUGUGUAGCGGUGAAAUGCGUAGGUAUAUGGAGGAACACCAGUGGCGAAGGCGACUCUCUGGUCUGUAACUGACGCUGAGGCUCGAAAGCGUGGGUAGCAAACAGG